GCUCCACAUAUCUAAUACUCAUUUUGCAUCGCAGCCCUACAUAGAGGCGCACAUUUUUUCCAGGCCACCCACUGCAGUGAAAGCGUCAUACACAUGUCAUGCUAUGCGGGCAUGAUGAGAGCUCAUUGAUACCUAUCGGAUUUUCUUUUUUUGAGAGUUCGCCAGAUUGCACACUUGGAUAAUAUGACUCUCCUAAAAUCAUGGCAAACUGAUCGCUCGAGUGACUCGACAGCUGAAAGCAUUGUGUGACGGCCAAACAAAAAAUUUUAAUUCUGAUUUGAUGGAGGUGGAAGCGUGGUCGAAGAACUGAUUCGGCACACAGAGGCA
This 327-nucleotide small RNA is filed under the name Histoplasma capsulatum. RNAcentral describes it as "hypothetical RNA". Lineage: Eukaryota; Fungi; Ascomycota; Eurotiomycetes; Onygenales; Ajellomycetaceae. RNAcentral also lists the same sequence under 1 other name. The record is from RNAcentral.